GACGAACGCUGGCGGCGCGCCUAACACAUGCAAGUCGAACGAGCGAGAGAGAGCUUGCUUUCUCAAGCGAGUGGCGAACGGGUGAGUAACGCGUGAGGAACCUGCCUCAAAGAGGGGGACAACAGUUGGAAACGACUGCUAAUACCGCAUAAGCCCACAGGUCGGCAUCGACCAGAGGGAAAAGGAGCAAUCCGCUUUGAGAUGGCCUCGCGUCCGAUUAGCUAGUUGGCGAGGUAACGGCCCACCAAGGCAACGAUCGGUAGCCGGACUGAGAGGUUGAACGGCCACAUUGGGACUGAGACACGGCCCAGACUCCUACGGGAGGCAGCAGUGGGGAAUAUUGCACAAUGGGGGAAACCCUGAUGCAGCGACGCCGCGUGGAGGAAGAAGGUCUUCGGAUUGUAAACUCCUGUUGUUGAGGAAGAUAAUGACGGUACUCAACAAGGAAGUGACGGCUAACUACGUG
This 466-nucleotide ribosomal RNA is filed under the name uncultured bacterium. RNAcentral's name for it is "partial 16S ribosomal RNA". It matches the Rfam family "Bacterial small subunit ribosomal RNA", at positions 28 to 507 of the family's 1533-position model. The record is from RNAcentral.